RNAcentral lists this ribosomal RNA (275 nucleotides) under uncultured Syntrophaceae bacterium. RNAcentral describes it as "partial 16S ribosomal RNA". It matches the Rfam family "Bacterial small subunit ribosomal RNA", at positions 1107 to 1382 of the family's 1533-position model. The record is from RNAcentral. Lineage: Bacteria; Pseudomonadati; Thermodesulfobacteriota; Syntrophia; Syntrophales; Syntrophaceae.
GUCUUUAAUUGCCAUCAUUGAGUUGGGCACUUUAAAGAGACUGCCGGUGUUAAACCGGAGGAAGGUGGGGAUGACGUCAAGUCCUCACGGCCUUUAUGUCCAGGGCUACACACGUGCUACAAUGGGUGGUACAAAGAGCAGCGACCUCGCGAGUGGAAGCAAAUCUCAAAAAGACCAUCCUCAGUUCGGAUUGGAGUCUGCAACUCGACUCCAUGAAGUCGGAAUCGCUAGUAAUCGCGGAUCAGCACGCCGCGGUGAAUACGUUCCCGGGCCUU